GCGUUUACUUUUUGCCAAUAACGUAAAUUAAAAGAUUGGGAAACUAAGUUAAAAAAGGAUACGGAACACGGGAAAGGAUCAGAUAAGUAGAAAGAGGAUUGAAACGGAUAUUAAAAAUUUCAUAAAUAUACAUAUAUACUUGCUACUUACACAACAUUACAAAUAUUUAAACUUUGAUAUGAUUCUGAAGAAUGAAAGAUGACAAUAUUUUAUAAAAUUUACAUGGAUACAUAAUUAGAGAGGAUAUACAGGUGAUAGAUCAAGGCCAUUUAAGUCCAACCAAGUUUUUAAAUUUAUCAGCGGUUGUGUUAUAGAAGAACUAGCUUUUUCAAUAGAAAUAUCACGACAGUAAAUUAAUAGAUCAUCAGCAUACUGAAGAACAUUUACACUAUUAAGUGAUGAUUUUAAAUCGUGUGUAUAAAUAUUAUACAAUAUUGGGCUAAGUACUGAUCCCUGGGGGAGGCCCUUUGAAACAAGUCGAGUAAUUGACUUCCUGUCAUCUAGUUUCAGGAUUAUGUAUCUUUCGGAAAGCAUGUUUAUGAUAAAAUUUGUUAAUAGCAGAGGUAUAUUAAGUUGUAAAAGCUUACUCUUUAAAAUACUUAUUACGACAUUAUCAUAGGCACAAUUUAUAUCUAAGAACGCAGCUAUUACUGAUUUAUUAUUUGAAAAUGAUAAUUGAAUAUCAGAAAUGAAUAUACUUAAGCUAUCAAUAGUACUUUUCCCACGUCUGAAACCGAAUUGGGAUUCACAUAAUAGACCGUUAUGCUCAACAAACCAUUCUAAACGAUUUUUUAUAAGAUGGUCUGUAAUUUUCAUCAAAACAGAAGAAAGUGCGAUUGGGCGAUAGGCAGAAUGGUCUGAAGAACACCUAUUAGGUUUCAGUACGGGAAUUAUUUCUUGACGUUUCCACGUGGAGGGGAUGUUACCAGAUGUCACUAUGGAAUUUAUAAGAGAUAAAUAAUAAAAUAAAGCAUCAUCAUCUAAAUGAGAGAUAAAGGAAUACGGAAUACCGUCCAGUCCAGGAGCAGAAUCCUUAACAUGAGACAAUACACCUUUUAGUUCAGUGAGAGAAAAUAUACUGUUUAAACCAAAACAGUUAUCAUUAUUUAUAUUUAUUACAGGGUAACCAAUUAUUAAGUCUUCAGGAACGAAAGGUGGAGCCAAUUUAUCUAAAAAGCUAUUAACUAAAUGAAAAGGGAUUGAUUUUGGAGAUGAAUCUUUGUAUGCAGAUCUAAACCUUCUUAUAUUUUGCCAUACAAGAGAUGGUUUGACAUCAGGUGAUAUUGAAUAGCAGAAAUUUUUCCAGCCAUCAAAUUUCUUUUUCUUUAGAAAUUUUGAAGUUUCUGACAUACUCUUUGUAAGAAUUUCAAAAUUCUCAUCAGUGGAACAUUGACAGUAUGUAAUUUCAGCAUAUUUUCUUCUCUUUACUGCCUCAGUACAUUCGUUAUCCCACCAAGGAGGAGAAGGAAUAAAACCCAAAGAGCUAUUUUUACUUGGAAAUAUCUCAUUGGCAACCUCAAUAAAGAUUCUUGCUAAAGAAUCUGCACACUGAGAUUCUGUACCUGGAUUAAUUUUUGGAAGUGUUGGAAAUGAUAAUAAUAGUGGGAAGUGAUCACUACCAAAAGUAGAUCGUAAUGGAUCCCAGGACAAAGAAGAAGCAAGAUUAGGUGUAGUGACUGUUAAAUCUGGAGCACUUGGGCCUUCGUCAGG
This is a long non-coding RNA of Leptidea sinapis, 1710 nucleotides long. RefSeq lists it as uncharacterized. The record is from RefSeq and is a predicted model, not a curated record. The transcript is spliced from 3 exons. NCBI's taxonomy places the organism in Eukaryota, Metazoa, Arthropoda, Insecta, Lepidoptera, Pieridae.